Molecule: ribosomal RNA, 312 nt
Filed under: uncultured bacterium
Lineage: Bacteria
Description: bacterial SSU rRNA
Rfam family: Bacterial small subunit ribosomal RNA
Source: RNAcentral
GAUGAACGCUGGCGGCGUGCCUAACACAUGCAAGUCGAGCGCGUCUUAUCGGUGCUUGCACUGAGAAAGAUGAGCGGCGGACGGGUGAGUAACGCGUGGGUAACCUGCCCUAUACACAUGGAUAACAUACUGAAAAGUUUACUAAUACAUGAUAAUAUAUAUUUGCGGCAUCGUAGAUAUAUCAAAGUGUUAGCGGUAUAGGAUGGACCCGCGUCUGAUUAGCUAGUUGGUGGGGUAAAAGCCUACCAAGGCGACGAUCAGUAGCCGACCUGAGAGGGUGAUCGGCCACAUUGGAACUGAGACACGGUCCAA